This is a long non-coding RNA of Gambusia affinis (western mosquitofish), 920 nucleotides long. RefSeq lists it as uncharacterized. The record is from RefSeq and is a predicted model, not a curated record. NCBI's taxonomy places the organism in Eukaryota, Metazoa, Chordata, Actinopteri, Cyprinodontiformes, Poeciliidae. The transcript has 5 exons.
UCCCUCUGCAGGCCGCCUAUCUGCUGUUUAUGUCCGUUUUUGCUCAUGUUUCUGCUGUUUGGCUGAUAGCUCCAUCCACCCGGGGAGGCAUGGUGCGUGGAGAGAAGUGCCUUUUCACUUUGAUCACCCUCGAAUGCGACGCCACUGUCCUUUAUGGCUGCAUUCUUUUCGGCAGGAAUGGAAUUUCAGCCUCUGUCUUGGUUUUACAUACACAAGGCUGCAAGAUAAGUGAGGAAUUUCCCAAAGCUGGGCAAAUUGAAGCUGAUCACUCCUGAUAAGACCACAUCCACUCUUCAUUCAUCACAUUAUCAGCCCCAAAACCAUAACGAGCUGUUGGAAGAGAUGGGUUUUAUCGACGGUGUGUGCAGAGGCUAACCGACAGGAGACAGGAGAGAAGCUCAGAUAGCAGCUGAUCCCAGGUCAUUUUUGAAUCAGUAUUUUAUGCAACGAUUGAGGUCAAUUUUGAUGUCAUUGGAUACCAUACAUCCUUUGAGACUGUCGUUGAGUUAGGACUGGUUAAAGAUGAAAUUCAAAUGACCUCUCCAAUCAAACAGAGUCCAUCAGACUACCAGACCACCAGCCCGGCCGAGCUUCAGUGGGGCUCACUGAUGUCAUGUUUCCGCUCCAUACAGCAGUCGGGCCGUCCCAACAAUGUGAACCUUCUCAUGUGCUAUCCCAGCCGCAGACCUCCACCAGAAACAGUGUACACGAGCAGCAGAUAGAGAGGGAGGAAGGAAGGAUUUAAAGGCAUACAAGGCCCAAGCCUGUGGAGCGCUGCUCAGUGGGGAAUGUGAAGUAGGAGUCAGCCUAAUCUCCAGCACCCAUAAGAGACUGGCUCCUGUCUGCCUGACUGCCACUGCCAUAUCUGUGUUUCAUUUCAGCCUGUCAGGUCCUAUCUGGCUGCCCUGAAAACUGCUUCU